GACAGAUGACUUUGGGUGGGUGGAACAUGUUGAUUCGACAUUUUACUCCCACGUGCCCCUUCCUGUCGUUUGUGUAUAGACGGGCAGCUGUGUACUUCAUUAGAAAGAGAAGCAGCGAUACAGAUGACAUCAAGUAUGGCCGAUAACCAAAUCCCCAUCAAUCAGAUUGCCACCAGUCUGCUGCCAAAUGGCAAUUUGCUCUCCUUGUUGGUAAUUUUGGACCUGUCUUAUGUGUCAUCAAGAUUGCAAACGAUGUGUCAUCAUUGACUCCACAUGGCACAUCAGACGUGUAGUCGGGAAAUCGCUACGAAUACUUCUUUUUUCACGCAAUUCUUCUUAAAAUGUUGAGGAUCAGCCAGAUUUGUUCAACGGCAUUUCUUUGUUGCCAACAUCUUCAGCAUUCUGGAAAUUGCAGGCCCAUUUCACGUUGCAGAACGAUAUUUCACUCCUUCGUCUGUUCCCCGGUUUUCGUACGACGGCCAUGCUGCUCUCCCAUCUGGAUAUAAGUCGUAAUUCGAUCGACCAGGGAUCCAUCCGCAUGUAGCCCCUGAAUACUUGGACACUUCCGCUUUGCAUCCGGUGUUUCUUUUGUGAUAGCAAAGAUAUUCUUGCUGGUCGUUAUCAAAGUUGUGAUGGCAGUGGGUGCAGUUUGGAUUAUCGACGCAUCGUUUGGCGCGUUCCAAAGGAUUUCACACAAAGUCACGAACGGAGAAAGGUCGUUGUCUUCACUGGGGAAGAAAUCACAGCCGCUUUCCCAGGGGUAUCCACUGUUGUAACCUCCAGAUUUCCAUUCCAUGGCCGACGAAACAACAAAAACGGUCAUUACCACACCAAAAAACAAAAAGGUUGGAGCCGACCGUCACCGAUUUGGAAUCGAUCCCGUUGUGACAUUUGAUCCCACUCGAAGUUUUAAGAGUCGAUAUGAGUUCCCUUUCACAAACACAAGGGCGAUAUGGGUUGAGAACCUUGACAAGUAAAUCUGAAAGUGCAAUUGAACAUCGUCGUCGUGGUAUAUAAAGAGCCAAUUGAACGAUCAAUCAGCAACUCAUUCUUCUCAUUUACUUGGCUCCAGCAGCAUCUCAUUUGAACGGGAAUUUUUAUUCGUCAGAUUUUGAAUUCAAUUACGAAUAAUUUGUUUAAAUGUCGGUCGCCCAGUGCAACAAAAUGUUUUUGAUUUCCGCCGUUUUGGUGAUGGUUGCGGUGAUCCUGCCGGCCGAGGCGAUCCGAACCUGGGACGAUUGGCACAACGGCGACGACGGCAUUAAAUGGAUGUACAACUGCGAGUUUCCAGGUGCUUGGACGCUGGAAGCCAAGGAAUUCAACAGUGACUAUUCGCCAAUGGAAGAAUCGCAGUGCGGCCGUGCCUGUAUCGACCGCAGGGGAUGCAAUUCCUUCGUGUUCAGAGAAGGCACUUGCUUCCUGAAAUCCUCUUCCAUUCCUGGAUCUUACAAACCUUAUAGACUUUGCAACCAGUGCGACAGUUGCGGUUUUCUCCCCUGGAAAUUCCACUAGAAAUUGCAAUUUAAUUUAUUCAUCAAAUUUAUAUUAUUUAUUUUGUCGGGUUACAAACGUCAGCUUGAUUAAUUCCACUUAUAUUUAUGGGGUGGCGAAAUAUAAUUGUCUCUAAUUGAUUCUUCGUUGUCGUCAAAACGAAUUCCAGGACGAUUUCAAAUCAACUGCGCAGAAUGCGUCAUCGAUAAAAUGAAUAAAGAUUUGGUCAUGCAAACUGACUUUUGUGGUCGCCACUUUCACAUCCGGAAAAGUUAAUAGAAUAAAGAGAACGAAAAAACAGGAUUAGUGCGAGUCUAUCUUUGCGUUCGUGUCUGUCUGGCAGUCGUCCGCGGAGAAACUAGUUUUAUUUUGGUGGGAAAUAUUUGGAUUGAUCCCAGAUAUAAUGAUACCGUAAUUGACUCGUUUCUGUUUUUAAAUGGCAAGUCGUCCUAUAUUAUCUGCGUGUGAUUUGCAUAUGAAAUACGAAAAUGGAUUGGCAUUCCAGUGGGUGACAGAAUUCUGGUAAGGUGCUACUAGAUGGACAACGGUCUCGACGACUUUUGCGAAUUUGACCUUGUCAGACUUUGUACGGCCGAUUCGUGAGAGGAGCAUUUUAAAAAAUUAUUCACCUUUUUGUGUUUGGUUUGAAACCGAUUUCUAUCGAAUACAAAAUAGUCUCGAUUCCUUUUUUCCGAUUUUCCAGUUUAGAAUUUUAGAUUUCGUUUUACCUUGACGUGGUGAAAAUAGCUGAGGAAUUUUUCCACGUUUGGUAAUCAUUUGGGCGUAAACUUUUUAGCUCAUUAUUGAGGACUGAGAUUGUAAUUGUAAUUUUUUACAUUUUGCAAAUAAUUGAAUGCAGGUUUCAAUGUUUUAAUCAAUCAGGCAACGAUGUUUGUUUUGUUUUUAUUUUAUUUUCGUCUGUAGCAAUUUCAAAUGUCAAAAAAAUGGCAGAGAGUUUCAUACGUGAUGUUAAUCUCAUCACUUUCAGAUUUCUUUUCGGUGAAUUAAAAGAAUUAAAGAACUCGUCAGUUGUAUAAAUUAUUCUAUUUUAAUUAGUAUGCACCUGCAAUCCUUUUAAUGCUUUUAAAAGUGUUGUAAGUCAGAAGCAAUGGUGUAACUACACUCGACUGGUAAUCUGAAGGGGAAAAGGUCUAAAAACGGAUCCAUACUGUAUCGUCAACUGCCUCGACGAUCCCAGUUAGUCAGUCCAGAGUGAAGCAAACAUUUUAUUACAUGAUGUACUCCAACAUAUGUAUGCAACAGUUCAUCUGAACCCAAUGAUCUUUCAUUCCGUUUACAUCUCAAUUAGUUUUACCCAAUUGUUCACAUGUGAGAUGUCUUACCGAGCAGAGAUCCCAAAUUCUGGGCAUCUGGGAUUGUGUAAUGAGGUAAGAGCUUUUUGGAAACACUACCUUGAUUUGUCAACAAUAUUCUGCCAAUGUUUCUAUUUUCCCUUGAAUCGCUUUUCUCAUCUUGUGUAAGAGGAGGUAGGAUUAAUUAUGCUAGUGAGUGGAAUAGGUACACCUAUUCUCGACAGUAUAUAUACUGGCAAUACACGGGGGACGUGGACAAACCAUUCUUCAGCUGCACAGCAAGUAUUCUACUAUCAAGUAUCCAUCUAAAAAAAUUCUCUGCAAGAUGAAUUUGAUUUCGAUCGCUUCCCUGUUGGUUGUUGCUGCGUUGAUGAUUUCGGUCGAUGCCCAGUGGAACACCGGCGACGGUGGCGUCAGAUGGAGGCCCAACUGCGACUUCACCGGCGGAGACAUUGGCAACGUGCGAGUGCCCGGACCGCAGUGCGGAAGGGCUUGCAUCAAUCGACCUAGAUGCAAUCAUUUUACUUAUAGAGACGGAGUGUGUUACCUGAAAAGCCAUCCAUUAUCCAAACCACGAUCCGGAUGUGGCGCAUGCGCUGUUUGCGGAUACCUUCCAUUCCGAACCAUCGGAUAAAGUUUUCUCGUUUCAGAUUUUGCAGUUUUCCAGAUUUUGCAGUUUUCCAGAUUUCUAUCUAUCGUUUCGUAUUUAGUUUAUAUACCUUUAUAAGUAGCAUUAUUAUGUAGAUGUAGACGAAAUAAUUUAUCAAAUACAACUUAUUAUUACACGC
Molecule: long non-coding RNA, 3592 nt
Filed under: Daphnia pulicaria
Lineage: Eukaryota; Metazoa; Arthropoda; Branchiopoda; Diplostraca; Daphniidae
Description: uncharacterized LOC124350202, transcript variant X3
Source: RNAcentral